CCCUUAGAUGUUCUGGGCUGCACGCGCGCUACACUGAAGCUAACAACACGUUUUCCCUCCCUGAGAAGGGCGGGUAACCUUUUGAAUCAGCUUCGUGGUAGGGAUCGGGGCUUGCAAUUGUUCCCCGUGAACCAGGAAUUCCUAGUAGACGCGAGUCAUAAGCUCGCAUCGAUUAAGUCCCUGCCCUUUGUACACACCGCCCGUCGCUACUACCGAUUGAACGUUUUAGUGAGGCAUUUGGACCGACGCAUCUCAGUUUAACCGCUGGUUUGUGUUGGAAAGACUUCCAAACUUGAGCGUUUAGAGGAAGUAAAAGUCGUAACA
Molecule: ribosomal RNA, 324 nt
Filed under: uncultured eukaryote
Lineage: Eukaryota
Description: partial 18S ribosomal RNA
Rfam family: Eukaryotic small subunit ribosomal RNA
Source: RNAcentral